ACUGGAUGAGCAGCGAACGGGUGAGUAACGCGUGGGGAAUCUGCCUUUGAGCGGGGGACAACAUUUGGAAACGAAUGCUAAUACCGCAUAAAAACUUUAAACACAAGUUUUAAGUUUGAAAGAUGCAAUUGCAUCACUCAAAGAUGAUCCCGCGUUGUAUUAGCUAGUUGGUGAGGUAAAGGCUCACCAAGGCGAUGAUACAUAGCCGACCUGAGAGGGUGAUCGGCCACAUUGGGACUGAGACACGGCCCAAACUCCUACGGGAGGCAGCAGUAGGGAAUCUUCGGCAAUGGACGAAAGUCUGACCGAGCAACGCCGCGUGAGUGAAGAAGGUUUUCGGAUCGUAAAACUCUGUUGGUAGAGAAGAACGUUGGUGAGAGUGGAAAGCUCAUCAAGUGACGGUAACUACCCAGAAAGGGACGGCUAACUACGUGCCAGCAGCCGCGGUAAUACGUAGGUCCCGAGCGUUGUCCGGAUUUAUUGGGCGUAAAGCGAGCGCAGGUGGUUUAUUAAGUCUGGUGUAAAAGGCAGUGGCUCAACCAUUGUAUGCAUUGGAAACUGGUAGACUUGAGUGCAGGAGAGGAGAGUGGAAUUCCAUGUGUAGCGGUGAAAUGCGUAGAUAUAUGG
Molecule: ribosomal RNA, 627 nt
Filed under: Lactococcus lactis
Lineage: Bacteria; Bacillati; Bacillota; Bacilli; Lactobacillales; Streptococcaceae
Description: bacterial SSU rRNA
Rfam family: Bacterial small subunit ribosomal RNA
Source: RNAcentral